RNAcentral lists this ribosomal RNA (403 nucleotides) under uncultured bacterium. RNAcentral describes it as "partial 16S ribosomal RNA". It matches the Rfam family "Bacterial small subunit ribosomal RNA", at positions 30 to 526 of the family's 1533-position model. The record is from RNAcentral.
AUUGAACGCUGGCGGCAGGCCUAACACAUGCAAGUCGAGCGAGCGGCGGACGGGUGAGUAAUGUAUGGGGACUGCCCGAUAGAGGGGGAUAACUACUGGAAACGGUGGCUAAUACCGCAUACUAUCGGAUAACCCAUAUGGGAUUAGCUAGUAGGUGGGGUAAAGGCUCACCUAGGCGACGAUCUCUAGCUGGUCUGAGAGGAUGAUUGGCCAAACUGGGAUUGAGACACGGCACAUACUCAUCCGGGGGCAGCAGGGGGGAAUAUUGGACAAUGGGCGCAAGCCUGAUGCAGCAAUGCCGCGUGUAUGAAGAAGGCCUUAGGGUUGUAAAGUACUUUCAGCGUGGAGGCGUUACCCGCAGAAGAAGCACCGGCUAACUCCGUGCCAGCAGCCGCGGUAAUAC